AUCCAGCUGAAGAGUCCCAAAUAGGACGAAACGUGCGUCCUGGAU
Molecule: non-coding RNA, 45 nt
Organism: Schistosoma margrebowiei
Lineage: Eukaryota; Metazoa; Platyhelminthes; Trematoda; Strigeidida; Schistosomatidae
Source: Rfam